Malurus melanocephalus (red-backed fairy wren) is the source of this 359-nucleotide long non-coding RNA. RefSeq lists it as uncharacterized. The transcript has 3 exons. Lineage: Eukaryota; Metazoa; Chordata; Aves; Passeriformes; Maluridae. The record is from RefSeq and is a predicted model, not a curated record.
GGGGUCACAAAAGCUCCAUGUGGGUUUAACGUCCUUGAAAAUGCCAGAAACAGAGUAAUUGGAUGGCUGGAACCACUGUGGAUGCAGCUCUUCCCUCACUGCCCUUGCAAGGAUCCCAUCAGCCCAAGCCCCAGCAUUGGGUACAAAGAGCUUCACCUCUGCUGGCACACUGAAAAACCCUCCGAGGUUCCAGGUGCCGUGGAGCUUGGAUUUGCCUUCUGCAGAGUGCUGCUGGAAUUUUGGGAUGUUUUACAUCAGUGUAUCCAUCRCUCAGCCACUGAGCCAGCAGGAGUGGUGAGGGUGCCUGGAAUACUCGUGUUGCUGCAGGGACAAGGACAUGGAAGAGGCUCUCUCAUUCU